GACGAACGCUGGCGGCGUGCUUAACACAUGCAAGUCGAACGGUGAAGCGCCUUCCUUUUUGGUUGGUGUGGAUGAGUGGCGAACGGGUGAGUAACACGUGAGUAACCUGCCCCCUUCUUCUGGAUAACCGCAUGAAAGUGUGGCUAAUACGGGAUAUUCUGGGUCUGUCGCAUGAUGGGUCUGGGAAAGAUAUUGUUUCGGUGGGGGAUGGGCUCGCGGCCUAUCAGCUUGUUGGUGGGGUGAUGGCCUACCAAGGCGGUGACGGGUAGCCGGCCUGAGAGGGUGGACGGUCACACUGGGACUGAGACACGGCCCAGACUCCUACGGGAGGCAGCAGUGGGGAAUAGUGCACAAUGGGCGCAAGCCUGAUGCAGCGACGCCGCGUGAGGGAUGGAGGCCUUCGGGUUGUGAACCUCUUUCGCCAGUGAAGCAGGCCUGCCUCGUUUGUGGGUGGGUUGACAGUAGCUGGAUAAGAAGCGCCGGCUAACUACGUG
This 494-nucleotide ribosomal RNA is filed under the name uncultured bacterium. RNAcentral's name for it is "partial 16S ribosomal RNA". It matches the Rfam family "Bacterial small subunit ribosomal RNA", at positions 28 to 507 of the family's 1533-position model. The record is from RNAcentral.